RNAcentral lists this ribosomal RNA (464 nucleotides) under uncultured bacterium. RNAcentral's name for it is "bacterial SSU rRNA". It matches the Rfam family "Bacterial small subunit ribosomal RNA", at positions 27 to 507 of the family's 1533-position model. The record is from RNAcentral.
GGACGAACGCUGGCGGCGUGCUUAACACAUGCAAGUCGAGCGAUGAAGUUCCUUCGGGAAACGGAUUAGCGGCGGACGGGUGAGUAACACGUGGGUAACCUGCCUCAUAGAGGGGAAUAGCCUUUCGAAAGGAAGAUUAAUACCGCAUAAGAUUGUAAUGCCGCAUGGCAUAGCAAUUAAAGGAGCAAUCCGCUAUGAGAUGGACCCGCGUCGCAUUAGCUAGUUGGUGAGGUAACGGCUCACCAAGGCGACGAUGCGUAGCCGACCUGAGAGGGUGAUCGGCCACAUUGGGACUGAGACACGGCCCAGACUCCUACGGGAGGCAGCAGUGGGGAAUAUUGCACAAUGGGGGAAACCCUGAUGCAGCAACGCCGCGUGAGUGAUGACGGUCUUCGGAUUGUAAAGCUCUGUCUUUAGGGACGAUAAUGACGGUACCUAAGGAGGAAGCCACGGCUAACUACGUG